Molecule: unclassified non-coding RNA, 228 nt
Filed under: plant metagenome
Description: partial contains small subunit ribosomal RNA, internal transcribed spacer 1, and 5.8S ribosomal RNA
Source: RNAcentral
UUUCCGUAGGUGAACCUGCGGAAGGAUCAUUACAGUGUUCCCUGCCCUUCGGGGUAGGAUCGCCACCCUUGAUUAUUUAUGAGUGUUGCUUUGGCGGGCCUCGGGGCCUGGCAGCGCCCCGGCUUUGGCGGGGGGGCGCCCGCCAGAGUAAUUUACAAACCUGAUUAUUAGUGUCGUCUGAGUACUAUAUAAUAGUUAAAACUUUCAACAACGGAUCUCUUGGUUCUG